AUUGAACGCUGGCGGCAUGCCUUACACAUGCAAGUCGAACGGCAACACGGCGCCUGGCGCCUACUGGCGGGUGACGGGCGGGUAAGUAAUACGAAGGAACACGUCCUGGGGGGGUAGAUACCCCGGAGAAAAGCUGAUUAAGACCACAAACUAUGGACGGAAGAAGGGGGGGGAAAGGCGUGCCUCGCGCGGUAGGGCCGGCCGAUGGCUGAUUAGCUAGUUGGUGGGGUAAAGGCCCACCAAGCCGACGAUCUGUAGCUGGUCUGAGAGGACGACCAGCCACACUGGGACUGAGACACGGCCCAGACUCCUACGGGAGGCAGCAGUGGGGAAUUUUGGACAAUGGGCGCAAGCCUGAUCCAGCAAUGCCGCGUGCAGGAAGAAGGCCUUCGGGUUGUAAACUGCUUUUGUACGGAACGAAACGGCUCUGGUUAAUACCCGGGGCUAAUGACGGUACCGUAAGAAUAAGCACCGGCUAACUACGUG
RNAcentral lists this ribosomal RNA (486 nucleotides) under uncultured bacterium. RNAcentral's name for it is "partial 16S ribosomal RNA". It matches the Rfam family "Bacterial small subunit ribosomal RNA", at positions 29 to 507 of the family's 1533-position model. The record is from RNAcentral.